AUGAUAUUUUUUAGAAAAUUGGUUGAAGCAGAUCCAUCGAUAAAGGUGAAGUCUAUUAUUGCAGAAGUUCAAUCUAGGUUCAACUACACUGUUAGUUACCGCAAGGCUUGGUUGGCAAAGUAGAAAUCUAU
This is a non-coding RNA of Arachis ipaensis, 131 nucleotides long. NCBI's taxonomy places the organism in Eukaryota, Viridiplantae, Streptophyta, Magnoliopsida, Fabales, Fabaceae. The record is from RefSeq and is a predicted model, not a curated record.